Long non-coding RNA from Sarcophilus harrisii (Tasmanian devil), 620 nucleotides. RefSeq lists it as uncharacterized. The transcript is spliced from 3 exons. The record is from RefSeq and is a predicted model, not a curated record. Lineage: Eukaryota; Metazoa; Chordata; Mammalia; Dasyuromorphia; Dasyuridae.
GUUUUAAGACAUCUUUUCUAGAGCAAGGAUGGGAUAGGAUUUUAUAGUAUAGGAUGAAAAAAAUAAGACAUUUAUAUGAAUUAUUCUAAUACAAGUUCAAACAUGAUAAGUACUAAAAUUUGGUUGAAAAACUGUCUUUUCCUUUUCUCAGACACUCAAAUCAUUCUAAGACAUGGUAGGGAAGGGGAAUGUGCUUGAUAAGAAACAAAAUAUUGUUUAAUUGGUAACUAACUAGUGACUUGUGUACAGUUAUUUUUGCUCUCUUAUUUGACCUUCAAUUUUUCAUUUAUAUUAAUGAGUUUUUCCCCUUGUUUUGCUUUGAUUUUGUUUGGGAUUCUCUGGAGCAGUGGGUUCCUUUUAAAAAAAAAUUGAUACAACUGUUGGUAAUAAUAUGGUAUCCAUCAGAUGCACAGCACAUCUACAUUCAAGGAAUGAUAGGGGAAAUGCUAACAACGGCCAACAUGAAAUGACAGAGAUUACUAGGAAGAUUGAGAGGAGGACUUUAUGAAGGAUAUUCUCAACCCAGUUUUUCCAUUUAAAUGAUUCUACUUAAAGAAAGGAAAGCCUUCCACCCAUGAGAUGUUGGACCCAGAUCUUAUAUGUUGUGAGCAAUAUGAAAG